AACGAACGCUGGCGGCGUGGUUAAGGCAUGCAAGUCGAGCGAGAAAGUCACCUUCGGGUGGCGAGUACAGCGGCGAAAGGGUGAGGAAUGCUUGGAUAACCUGCCCUCGAGCGGGGGAUAGCCCACCGAAAGGUGGAUUAAUACCGCUUACGAUCCGGUUGGGGCAUCUCAGCCGGAUGAAAGGAGGCGUCCUUCGGGGCGUUUUCACUCGAGGAGGGGUCCAAGUCGUAUCAGCUUGUUGGUAGGGUAACGGCCUACCAAGGCUACGACGCGUAUGGGGCCUGAGAGGGUGAUCCCACACACUGGGACUGAGACACUGCCCAGACUCCUACGGGAGGCUGCAGUCGAGAAUCUUUGGCAAUGGACGAAAGUCUGACCAAGCGACGCCGCGUGGAGGACGAAGGCCUUCGGGUUGUAAACUCCUGUCAGGGGGCAAGAAUAAGCGCGU
RNAcentral lists this ribosomal RNA (448 nucleotides) under uncultured bacterium. RNAcentral describes it as "bacterial SSU rRNA". It matches the Rfam family "Bacterial small subunit ribosomal RNA", at positions 29 to 458 of the family's 1533-position model. The record is from RNAcentral.